RNAcentral lists this ribosomal RNA (711 nucleotides) under Sulfolobus acidocaldarius. RNAcentral's name for it is "bacterial SSU rRNA". The stretch from base 5 to 486 matches the Rfam family "Archaeal small subunit ribosomal RNA", at positions 26 to 492 of the family's 1478-position model. The record is from RNAcentral. Lineage: Archaea; Thermoproteati; Thermoproteota; Thermoprotei; Sulfolobales; Sulfolobaceae.
UUUUACUACGGUCCUGGGUAGGGAUUUCCUGGGAGUCUUACACUCCCGGGUAAGGGAGUGUGGCGGACGGCUGAGUAACACGUGGCUAACCUACCCUCGGGACGGGGAUAACCCCGGGAAACUGGGGAUAAUCCCCGAUAGGGAAGGAGUCCUGGAAUGGUUCCUUCCCUAAAGGGCUAUAGGCUAUUUCCCGUUUGUAGCCGCCCGAGGAUGGGGCUACGGCCCAUCAGGCUGUCGGUGGGGUAAAGGCCCACCGAACCUAUAACGGGUAGGGGCCGUGGAAGCGGGAGCCUCCAGUUGGGCACUGAGACAAGGGCCCAGGCCCUACGGGGCGCACCAGGCGCGAAACGUCCCCAAUGCGCGAAAGCGUGAGGGCGCUACCCCGAGUGCCUCCGCAAGGAGGCUUUUCCCGCUCUAAAAGGCGGGGGAAUAAGCGGGGGGCAAGUCUGGUGUAACCCGCCGCGGUAAUCCAGCUUCGCGAGUGGUCGGGGUGAUACUGGCCUAAACCCUGUAGCCGNCCACAAGUCGNCCUUAAAGUCCCGGUUAACGGGAACUGGGGCAUCUGUGGCUAGGGCGGANAGCGGGGUCUCCGANAGGCAAAUCUAAUCCGAGCNCAUGCGACCCCUUAACCCACGUAAGNAACCGGANAAGGUUACCGGNCCGUUAAAAGNUGUANGGUANCUGCCGACUACCNGGGAGNAAAAAAAGGGG